CCUACGGGAGGCAGCAGUGGGGAAUAUUGGACAAUGGGCGCAAGCCUGAUCCAGCAAUGCCGCGUGAGUGAUGAAGGCCUUAGGGUCGUAAAGCUCUUUUACCAGGGAUGAUAAUGACAGUACCUGGAGAAUAAGCUCCGGCUAACUCCGUGCCAGCAGCCGCGGUAAUACGGAGGGAGCUAGCGUUGUUCGGAAUUACUGGGCGUAAAGCGUACGUAGGCGGUUAUUCAAGUCAGAGGUGAAAGCCCGGGGCUCAACCCCGGAACGGCCUUUGAAACUAGGUAGCUAGAAUCUUGGAGAGGUCAGUGGAAUUCCGAGUGUAGAGGUGAAAUUCGUAGAUAUUCGGAAGAACACCAGUGGCGAAGGCGACUGACUGGACAAGUAUUGACGCUGAGGUACGAAAGCGUGGGGAGCAAACAGGAUUAGAUACCCUGGUAGUCCACGCCGUAAACGAUGAUAACUAGCUGUUCGGGCACUUGGUGCUUGAGUGGCGCGAGCUACGCAUUAAGUUAUCCGUCCGUCGGGUAGGUACGGUCGCGAGAAGUUAAAACGUUAAAAGGUAAAGUUAGUACGGUCGUGUAGACGUUAGUCCGAACGGACGACGACGAGGGAGGAGG
Molecule: ribosomal RNA, 617 nt
Filed under: uncultured bacterium
Lineage: Bacteria
Description: bacterial SSU rRNA
Rfam family: Bacterial small subunit ribosomal RNA (bases 1-518)
Source: RNAcentral